GAAGAGAUUGAUUUACAAUCUAUUCUCUCUGAAGCCUGCUACUUGGAGGUUUCGUCUGCAUUAUAAAACCUUAUUCUCCACAAUCCCUUAUCAUAACCCAGACAUUCCUUUCUGUUGAUUCCAGGUCUUUAGAUAAUAACUCUUUCAACCAGUUGUCAAUCAGAAAAUCUUUGAAUCUGCCUAUGAGUUGGAAGUCCCCUCUUUCCCCCACUUUCCAGUUGUCCUGCCUUUUCGGACCAUUCCAGUGAACAUCUUACAUGUAUUGAUUGAUGUCUUAUGUCUCCCUAAAGUGGUAUAAAACCAAACUAUAGCCUGGCCACCUUGAACACAUGUUCUCAGGACCUCCUGGGGCUGUGUCAUAGGCCAUUAGUCACUUAAAUUGGAGCAGAAUAAAUCUCUUUAAAUAUUUUAGAGUUUGACUUUUUUUGUCAACAUGACAAUGGCUUGCUUAGUCUAACCAGCAUGUUCUAGGACACUGUAAAAUUAAAAAAAAAAAACCCAAGUACCAAACAAAUCACUCUUCAAGGGGAACAAGCUGACUGUAAUGGGUACAAAAGAUGGCUGGUUUAGGUGGAAAAGUAAAAGAAUCAGCCACCCCCUUUAGGGUUUUGCUGAGUGUUGUAGAUAGGGCUAGGAUUGCAGUGAGCAACACCUUAAAAAUGCUUAAGGCCCAGGUCGUUGGGAAUUUGCAUUCAGAUGUAAUUGAAGCUAAGAUGUUUUCCAAAACUAUUAACAUUUCUUGGCUUAAAAAUUGGGGAACUAGCACACGGGGCUGCCUAGGGCUGUUUGUACAGGGAAGGCCUCAGAAACACCAGAAUCAUCUGAAGCCCCUGGGGGUUUUACAUAGCUGAGGAAUUUUACUUGUUCAUUUGUGUGUUUACACCCUUGAGACAAUACAAUCUAAACAGUAAUCGCCCUGUUAAGUGGUAGUCGUGCCAAUCUUGCUAACUUAUAUCACAGUUCUCUGUUUCUUCAAACAUGAUGACCAAAAGAAAACCUUUUCUGGAUAUUUAAGUCAGGGAUAGCUUUAAAAACCUCCAUGGCUGCCAUGCAGUAUUGAUGGAGUUUGCUCCUGGGCCUGUGGAGGUUUGUAAACUAGCCUGGAAAUGCUCCUUUUAAAACUCUGCCUGCUUUUCGUGCUUUGUUUGUGUUGUUUCUUUUCUGACUGUGUGCGGGGCCUUGUGGGUCCUCUGAGGGUCUGGCCUAUGGUUCCUGGCCCAUAGAAACUUUUCUUCUUUUUAUAUCUUGGCAGCUCUCAGGCUCCUGGAAGACUGCAAACCCUGCAAACAAACUUGUUAAGGUUUUAAACAUGAAUCAGAGACAUCAGCAAAGGCCAAAUGGGACAUCCUGCAAUCUUUACUGUGGACCACAAGAAGCUAUUUUUUCACUAUAGAUCUUUAAAAUACAGGACUCCUGGCACAUGGCCAAAUGGUAAAUACCAGAUCGAAUGCCAUCCUGAGAUCAGAUAUCAGGACAAGAGCAAGAGAACAAGUUACCUGAGUCUCUCUCAUCAACUCUGACUUGACAGAACAAGGCAGGCAAGAUUAGAGACAAGCACCACCUUCCUGGCACUGUAACCUUUUCAUCAGCAUCCAUUAGACAAUGCAGGAUGAAGUGACUACUCUGUUGCGGCCCAGAAUCCAUCAGAAUUGAUGACUAGGAAUAAUUAUGACACACUCCUGGCCAGUUAGGCUUCGGCUGGUAUUUGUUUUGCUGCCUGAAUUUUAUAAUCCUCUUUCUGGUCUUAAAAAUAUUAAAUCUCAUUCUGUGUGUUCCACGUUUAA
Molecule: non-coding RNA, 1784 nt
Organism: Macaca mulatta (Rhesus monkey)
Lineage: Eukaryota; Metazoa; Chordata; Mammalia; Primates; Cercopithecidae
Source: RefSeq, a predicted model, not a curated record